This 405-nucleotide ribosomal RNA is filed under the name Triticum aestivum (bread wheat). Its description in RNAcentral is "partial small subunit ribosomal RNA". Lineage: Eukaryota; Viridiplantae; Streptophyta; Magnoliopsida; Poales; Poaceae. The record is from RNAcentral.
AAAGUGGGAGAAUGAAAAGUGGCUUGGGUCUCAUGGGCAGAGAUGACGCAACCGAAAUAUAUGGGUGGACUGGGCUUUAGAGGUAUUGAGCUCUUCAAUCUAGCGAUGCUAGCAAAACAAGCAUGGAGGCUGCUACAAGAUAAGAAAACUCUAAGUGGUAAGAUUUUAAUAGUUGUAUAUUUUCCGGGUAUGGACUUACAUGAUGCAGAAUUGGGCACCUCUUCGAGCCAAGUAUGGCGAGCUAUCAUAGAAGGAAGAUACACUCUUAAGUUGGGGCUUGGGAAGCGUAUUGGAACGAGAAAGAAUACUUGAGUUUGGGAGGAUAAUUGGCUCACAAGACUCCCCAAGAAGCCACUAGGGCCACCGUAUUCUCCUCACGCCCUCACACUAUGCGAGAUGCCGUGA